Molecule: long non-coding RNA, 2054 nt
Organism: Taeniopygia guttata (zebra finch)
Lineage: Eukaryota; Metazoa; Chordata; Aves; Passeriformes; Estrildidae
Source: Ensembl
AAACAUCAUUAUUCUUUACCAGAGUGGAAGCUCUCUUGAUUUCUUCAUGUCUCAACAACUCACAAGGAAACAACCCCUUUCCCAAGAAUUACUGUAAAUGUUACAGUGCCAGGAUCCCUCAGAUAAUCAUGCAGCAGACAGUCUUCCAACUCCUGAGAAAGCAAGCAGGCUCUGAAUUGGGUAUUUGCAUUGUUCUCAGUUUUGAUUUGUGCAGGAGUUCACACAGAGGUAAUUUUGACAGUUGAGCUGAAGGCAACUUUAUUCCUGUUAAAAUUUUGUCUCAAUGCAGCCUUGCUUCCUUGGAAUCAGACAAUGAUAAUGGGCUACGGUUGUUUAUCAGAACUCUGACCAUCCCAUUUCAAGGCUUGUAUAAACUGAGAAAGUUGCAUGAGCAGAGGUCCAAUAUCACUGAUUACUACUUGGUAGAAAUCAGAUGGAAAGAUAUUUGCAAUAGCUAAGCAGAGAAGCAAGGAGGGUCCCAGAGUAUCUAUUUGUGUCAAAAGUAAAUAAGUAUCUGUACUUGCCAGCUGUUUCCCUUGCACCUUUCGAUGUUACUGAAGUUUGGACAGUAAUCUGUAUUCUGUUCCAUUUAUUAUUCAAGCUUCACAUCACAGUGUUUCAACACUUUCCAUAUGCAUAGAGAACAGCAUGAUUACGAGAUGUCAGAUGCAGUUUUCACCUUCUAUCAUCCUCUCGCUGAAUAUUGGCCCUCAGGCUGCACAGGCAGGCUGAGACUGCCCCUUGACUUACUUGGCCAAAAUAGUGUCUUGCUUUUUGCUUAGUGAUUAGAGCAGAAGGCAAAUUUGUGAGAGUCUCAAGUUCUAUUAUUUAUCUGAACUAUUUGAACUAUUUAUUCAGGAAAUAAAUUGAGAGAAAACAACUGGAAUUUAAUAUUGAAUAGUUUCAUAUGAUCAAAUGGGUAGCAUAGUUAUCUCUGCUGUGAAAAAAAUGGAGAGAUUUUGAACCUGUGUGUCUCCAAUUCAGAGGAAACUUCAUGCCAUAUUAUUUUCUGUUUGGGGCUGGUUUUCUGGUUUUCAAAGGAAAAAAAAAAAAAAGAGCAAAAAUUCCUGAGCUUGUCACAGGAGAGAAUACUUUUUUUAAAAUCACAUAUUAUGAGAUUCAGGACUCAUGGAGACAUGAAAUUACUACCUGGGGCCAUUAAUUGGACAAAUGGAAUAUCGCUCUAUUUCUUAAUAUCUUAAUCAUUCAGUCUAGCUUUCUGUGGAGACAACUUGGUGCUAGUAUACACUGAUGGACUUCUCAGAUGCUUCACUUGGAAAGUGUAACGUGAAAAAAAAAAUUAAAUCAUCUUUGAUAUUACUUUCCAUGAAGGAAAGUUUACUGCUACAUGCAGUGGAAAAGUCCAGAGGUAAGAUCCAAGAGUUGAACAAAAACGCUGCCCUUCUGUGACACAAUCAGAAUUAAAGAAUCUAUUAAAUAAGAACUGUAUGUAUUUAGUAAUCCAUUGGUUCAUUCCGUCUUUGGACAAAGAAACAUCCAAGACCAGGCAUCUGAUGAUCUCCCUGGGAACCACUGAGGAUCACAGGCCAGCACUGGGUUACUCUUCUGCUAACAGCAUCUCCACACAGACUUAGUGGAGACAUCCAGUCUGUGAUGAAUACAGCCUAGGGAAAUACAGGCCUAGAACUGUCUACUGACUUAUUAUUAAUACAUUGGAAUAGUCUGGACCUGUGACCUCUUUACUGAAUCUUCCCCCCUCCCUCCCACAACUUUUUCCUGCCUGUGCGCAUGUCAGGAGGACUUCUGGACUUUGCAUGUUCACAAGCACAGCCACAGCAUCUCUCUUCACACUCCUCUUGUUACCUGUGCCCCAGACUCCCUUUCCCACAGAGAAAGCACCCUUUGACUGGGCAGAGCCUCCAGGCAAAACCAGCUUUUGUGUGCCCAACAUGCAAACACCAUGUCCCAGAAUGGAUCAGAUGUGAUUUCAUCUGGUAGUCCCACUGUGUGCAGCUCAAUAACAAACCAAAAAUGCAAUACACAGCAGGGGGAAGAAAGAAAGGAAAAAAAAAAAAAAAAAAAAAAAAAAAAAA